RNAcentral lists this non-coding RNA (30 nucleotides) under Rattus norvegicus (Norway rat). Lineage: Eukaryota; Metazoa; Chordata; Mammalia; Rodentia; Muridae. The record is from RNAcentral.
UCCAGAUCUCAGUGGGAAGUGCUUCCAAAU